Molecule: transfer RNA, 72 nt
Organism: Camelus ferus (Wild Bactrian camel)
Lineage: Eukaryota; Metazoa; Chordata; Mammalia; Artiodactyla; Camelidae
Rfam family: tRNA
About the family: Transfer RNA (tRNA) molecules are approximately 80 nucleotides in length. Their secondary structure includes four short double-helical elements and three loops (D, anti-codon, and T loops).
Source: Rfam
GAGGGUGUAGCUCAGUGAUAGAGCAUGUGCUUAGCAUGCACGAGGUCCUGGGUUCAAUCCCUAGUACCUCCA